Molecule: ribosomal RNA, 374 nt
Filed under: uncultured organism
Description: partial 16S ribosomal RNA
Rfam family: Bacterial small subunit ribosomal RNA
Source: RNAcentral
GAACCGUACGAACGUUAUUCGGAAUCACUGGGCUUAAAGGGUGCGUAGGCGGCUCGGCAAGUUGGGUGUGAAAUCCCUCGGCUCAACCGAGGAACUGCGCUCAAAACUGCCGAGCUAGAGGGAGACAGAGGUGAGCGGAACUUAGGGUGGAGCGGUGAAAUGCGUUGAUAUCCUAAGGAACACCAGUAGCGAAAGCGGCUCACUGGGUCUCUUCUGACGCUGAGGCACGAAAGCUGGGGGAGCGAACGGGGGAUUAGAUACCCCGGUAGUCCUAGCUGUAAACGAUGAGCACUGGGUCGGAGGAUCCUCCAUAGUUUUCCCGGCCGUAGCGAAAGUGUUAAGUGCUCCGCCUGGGGAGUAUGGUCGCAAGGCUG